UUAUGCGCGCGCGGUGUAAAUCGUUUCCAGCGCUCCGUAUCCGUCGUCGUCUUGCCCCGCUUGCGUGCCGGUAGUAAAAUCGUUUGCGCGCGCGCCCGCUUGUUCGCUUGAGUGUUAGUGUGUGUAUACUGUGUAUGCGUGCGCGCUGUGUGUGAUAACGACCGACCGACCGACAGACACACUUUGUUCUAUUCGUGUUCGACGCGCGCGAUGCGUCCGAUCUCGUUCGCCGUCACCGCCGUCGUCUGAAUUCGAUCGCGCUUUUUCCUGAUUUUUUUUUACAAAUUUUUUUACAUUUUUUUUCCACGUAUCUCGCCCAUAGUCGCGCACGCACACUCUCGUACUCGAGCAACGGCCGUCUGUCUUUCAAAUAUUAUACACCGGUCUGUGGUUUUUUGAAAAAAAAAAAACAACAUCAACAACAACAACGAUAAUAAUUUAAUAAUAAAACCGAUAUAGUAAAAACCACACAGCUUUUGGCCCCGCAUGCCGCAACAUGUCCUACCGCUCGCUGGCCGCCGACCGCGUGUACAAAGCGACCACGGACGACCUGCAGCCGGAGCGGAAGAACUCGGUCGGUACGGUUUUUAAAAAGGCUUUCGGCACGCUAAGCUCCAGCCCCCGGCGCAGGCUGUCCGAGCCGCUUAUGUCCGGCGUGCCCGUAAUCGGCACCGGAAACAUCAACACGCCGCUCAGAAAAAUGCCCACAUCUGCCAUAUCCGAAGAAGCGUCGCUGCUCAGUGGCAUGCGGUCGGAGACUUUGGAGGAAGUGGAACUUACCGGCGUCCGUCCGUCGUUACCUGCCGUCCGGACGUUUACCAGGGGCAACACCGGUGUGGAAGAGGUGUACGUGGACACCGACAACGGGCCGGUGUGCGUGGCCGUGCAGGGCGAUCGGUCCAGGCCACCCAUACUCACUUACCAUGACUUAGGACUGAACUACGUCACAAGCUUUCAGACAUUCUUCAAUUACAGUGAAAUGCGCACCCUCAUGUCAAAUUUCUGCGUAUACCACGUGAACGCACCCGGACAAGAAGAAGGAGCAGCACCGUUAUCGGACGAUUACGUUUUUCCUAGUACAGACGAGUUAGCGAACCAGUUAGAUCACGUUUUAAGAUAUUUUGGUUUGCAAUCGAUCGUCGGACUUGGAGUGGGAGCUGGUGGGAACAUUUUGGCACGGUUCGCUUACAGACAACCAACAAAGGUCGAAGCGCUGUGUCUGAUCAACGUGGUGUCAACGCCGGCCGGUUGGAUCGAGUACGGUUAUCAAAAAUUGAACAGCAGAUACUUGAAAUCCAAAGGCAUGACACAAGGGGUGAUGGACUAUUUGAUGUGGCAUCAUUUUGGAAAAGGAACCGAGGAGAGGAACCACGAUCUGGCCAGAGUGUACCGAGAGUACUUCGAGCACAGCGUCCACCCGGGCAACCUGGCCGCAUUCAUCGACUCGUACGUGAGACGGACAGACCUGGGCAUCAGCAGGAGUACGCCCACGUCCGAGUCAUGCCCAGCCGGCCGCAGGCUCAGCAUGGCCACCACGUUGCAGAUGCCAAUCAUCAACGUGUGCGGAGCUCUGUCGCCGCACCAGGAGGACACGGUGACGCUCAACUCGAGACUGGAUCCGACCAAGUCGUCGUGGAUGAAGGUAUCCGACUGUAGCAUGGUGCUGGAAGAGGUACCACAAAAAAUGUGUGAAGCGCUGCGGCUUUUCUUGCAAGGACUCGGUUACGCUGUGAGACUCGGCCGGCCACCGUUGACCGUAUCCAGAUCGGCUGAAGGUAAAAAUGUACUAGCUAAUGCAUUUAGCGCACGGAUGCACGAAUAGUUAGCGCACGCACACACACACGUUACACUUUCACACACACGUUACACUCUCUCUCACACACACACACACACACGCGCACACACACACACACAAACCGAAUACACCCUCCUACCUACCGGGCAAAUUGAUCGACUAAAAGUAUAUCAGCUUCGAAAAACGAAAUUUGUAACACUGAUAUCGAAAUCCAUAAGACAGUCCACGUCCAAAGACAGCGUUCGCAGCUCGCCGUGGCCUUUCAGAAUCACCGAAAACCCGCUGACGGCAUGAUGACAUGAUACGUGUAAGGCGAUUAUGUCAUUAGAGUGCGCAGGUCGUUUGGCGGCGAGGCGGAAGGUUGGUGCUAUAGCAACAGUUCUACAAUAAUAAUAUUAUAGGUAUACGCAUAUAUAUAUGUAUUAUAUAUACAUAAAAUGACAUAAAAUGUGCACUCGUCUGGUUUCGCGACGUGGGCGAGCAUCGCAAGUGAGCCUUUGAAAAAAAAAAAUGUCAAAAAUAAACCAGAACCGUUUAACCGUUUAGUACCUAUAUAGUCGAAAAAGGACAAAUACAUAAUAGUAUUAUUGUAUAGUUUAUAAUAGGUAUAAUAUUAUAUAAUAUAAAUGGUCAGGCUAGUUUGUUUUUUUAGACGAUUUUAUAUCUAUAUAUAUAAUAUAUGUAUAUAGUGUAUACCUAAAUAUAAUAUUAUAAUAAUAAACAGUUAUAUAUGUAAUGACGUUAGGGAUAUUGAGACUCAUAUCAUCAAAAAAAGCUUCAGAUGUAGUUUUUGCUAAACGGAGAAAAAAACUCCGUACAUAUUGUUAUGUUUAGGUACGCCUAAAAAUUAAAUUAAAUUAAUAUAUUAUUAUAAUAAUAAUCGUUAAUGAAUAAUAAGAAAAAAAAAUGACGAGAUUAACGAGUUAGUUUAAUAGACUGCACAAACACCUGCGCUUUUUUAUUGUUUUUUUUUUAUUUAUAUUUUACGUUGUUGAUUAUUGAUGUUAAUAAUAGUUUGUUAAGUGUUGCUGUUAUUUAAUCAGAUAUAUUGUACACAUCGCGGAUUUUAUAUACCGUUCUGUAUGAUAUAAAGAUGGAUUGUGAUAAGUAACAAUAUAACAAUGAAAUUUAUAACUAUACAUAUUUGUAAUUUUAAUUGUUGCAUAUGUCUUUAAAUAAUUAUUUACAUUGAUUAUACGCC
RNA transcript from Metopolophium dirhodum (rose-grain aphid), 2996 nucleotides. It is a transcript of the gene named protein NDRG1, with no coding region annotated. The record is from RefSeq and is a predicted model, not a curated record. The transcript is spliced from 11 exons. NCBI's taxonomy places the organism in Eukaryota, Metazoa, Arthropoda, Insecta, Hemiptera, Aphididae.